UUAAGUGACUAAGCGUACACGGUGGAUGCCUUGGCAGUCAGAGGCGAUGAAAGACGUAGUAACUUGCGAUAAGCCCAGAUUAGGUAGUAACAACCAUUUGAGUCUGGGAUUUCUGAAUGGGGAAACCCACGUGCAUAAGCACGUAUCCUUACCUGAAUACAUAGGGUAAGGAGGCGAACCGGGGGAACUGAAACAUCUAAGUACCCCGAGGAAAAGAAAUCAACCGAGAUUCCGAAAGUAGCGGCGAGCGAAAUUGGACUAGCCCUUAAGCUUUACACACGUUAGACGAACGGUCUGGAAAGUCCGACGAUACAGGGUGAUAGUCCCGUAGUUGACGACGUGUGUUCAGUGAAAUCGAGUAGGGCGGGACACGUGAUAUCCUGUCUGAAUAUGGGGGGACCAUCCUCCAAGGCUAAAUACUACUGACUGACCGAUAGUGAACCAGUACCGUGAGGGAAAGGCGAAAAGAACCCCUGUGAGGGGAGUGAAAUAGAACCUGAAACCGUGUACGUACAAGCAGUAGGAGCAGGCUUUGUCCUGUGACUGCGUACCUUUUGUAUAAUGGGUCAGCGACUUAUAUUCAGUGGCAAGGUUAACCAUCUAGGGGAGCCGUAGGGAAACCGAGUCUUAACUGGGCGUUCAGUCUCUGGAUAUAGACCCGAAACCAGGUGAUCUAGCCAUGGGCAGGUUGAAGGUUGAGUAACAUCAACUGGAGGACCGAACCGACUAAUGUUGAAAAAUUAGCGGAUGACUUGUGGCUAGGGGUGAAAGGCCAAUCAAACCUGGAGAUAGCUGGUUCUCCCCGAAAGCUAUUUAGGUAGCGCCUCGGACGAAUACUACUGGGGGUAGAGCACUGUUAAGGCUAGGGGGUCAUCCCGACUUACCAACCCUUUGCAAACUCCGAAUACCAGUAAGUACUAUCCGGGAGACACACGGCGGGUGCUAACGUCCGUCGUGGAGAGGGAAACAACCCAGACCGCCAGCUAAGGUCCCAAAUUACUACUAAGUGGGAAACGAUGUGGGAAGGCUCAGACAGCCAGGAUGUUGGCUUAGAAGCAGCCAUCAUUUAAAGAAAGCGUAAUAGCUCACUGGUCGAGUCGGCCUGCGCGGAAGAUGUAACGGGGCUAAGUAGUAAACCGAAGCUGCGGCAAUAUACUUUUGUAUAUUGGGUAGGGGAGCGUUCUGUAAGCGGUUGAAGGUGUGUGGUAACGCAUGCUGGACGUAUCAGAAGUGCGAAUGCUGACAUGAGUAACGAUAAAGGGGGUGAAAAACCUCCUCGCCGGAAGACCAAGGGUUCCUGUCCAACGUUAAUCGGGGCAGGGUAAGUCGACCCCUAAGGCGAGGCCGAAAGGCGUAGUCGAUGGGAAACGGGUUAAUAUUCCCGUACUUCUUACAAUUGCGAUGGGGGGACGGAGAAGGCUAGGUGGGCCUGGCGACGGUUGUCCAGGUUCAAGUGCGUAGGCUUGAGAGUUAGGUAAAUCCGGCUCUCUUUAAGGCUGAGACACGACGUCGAGCAUCUACGGAUGUGAAGUCAUUGAUGCCAUGCUUCCAGGAAAAGCCUCUAAGCUUCAGAUUGUAAGGAAUCGUACCCCAAACCGACACAGGUGGUCGGGUAGAGAAUACCAAGGCGCUUGAGAGAACUCGGGUGAAGGAACUAGGCAAAAUGGUACCGUAACUUCGGGAGAAGGUACGCUCUUGAUGGUGAAGUCCCUCGCGGAUGGAGCUGACGAGAGUCGCAGAUACCAGGUGGCUGCAACUGUUUAUUAAAAACACAGCACUGUGCAAAAUCGUAAGAUGACGUAUACGGUGUGACGCCUGCCCGGUGCCGGAAGGUUAAUUGAUGGGGUUAGACUUCGGUCGAAGCUCUUGAUCGAAGCCCCGGUAAACGGCGGCCGUAACUAUAACGGUCCUAAGGUAGCGAAAUUCCUUGUCGGGUAAGUUCCGACCUGCACGAAUGGCGUAAUGAUGGCCACGCUGUCUCCACCCGAGACUCAGUGAAAUUGAAAUCGCUGUGAAGAUGCAGUGUACCCGCGGCUAGACGGAAAGACCCCGUGAACCUUUACUACAGCUUGGCACUGAACAUUGACCCUACAUGUGUAGGAUAGGUGGGAGGCUUUGAAGCACGUACGCCAGUAUGUGUGGAGCCGUCCUUGAAAUACCACCCUUGUAGUGUUGAUGUUCUAACGUCGACCCCUAAUCGGGGUUGCGGACAGUGCCUGGUGGGUAGUUUGACUGGGGCGGUCUCCUCCCAAAGAGUAACGGAGGAGCACGAAGGUGGGCUAAUCACGGUUGGACAUCGUGAGGUUAGUGCAAUGGCAUAAGCCCGCUUGACUGCGAGAAUGACAAUUCGAGCAGGUGCGAAAGCAGGUCAUAGUGAUCCGGUGGUUCUGAAUGGAAGGGCCAUCGCUCAACGGAUAAAAGGUACUCCGGGGAUAACAGGCUGAUACCGCCCAAGAGUUCAUAUCGACGGCGGUGUUUGGCACCUCGAUGUCGGCUCAUCACAUCCUGGGGCUGAAGUCGGUCCCAAGGGUAUGGCUGUUCGCCAUUUAAAGUGGUACGCGAGCUGGGUUUAGAACGUCGUGAGACAGUUCGGUCCCUAUCUGCCGUGGGCGUUGGAAGAUUGAAGGGGGCUGCUCCUAGUACGAGAGGACCGGAGUGGACGAACCUCUGGUGUUCGGGUUGUGUCGCCAGACGCAUUGCCCGGUAGCUAAGUUCGGAAUCGAUAACCGCUGAAAGCAUCUAAGCGGGAAGCGAGCCCUGAGAUGAGUCUUCCCUGAUACUUUAAGUAUCCUAAAGGGUUGUCGGAGACUACGACGUUGAUAGGUCAGGUGUGUAAGUGCUGUGAGGCAUUGAGCUAACUGAUACUAAUUGCCCGUGAGGCUUAACCAU
RNAcentral lists this ribosomal RNA (2889 nucleotides) under Vibrio parahaemolyticus. RNAcentral describes it as "bacterial LSU rRNA". It matches the Rfam family "Bacterial large subunit ribosomal RNA". The record is from RNAcentral. Lineage: Bacteria; Pseudomonadati; Pseudomonadota; Gammaproteobacteria; Vibrionales; Vibrionaceae.